Long non-coding RNA from Nymphalis io (European peacock), 869 nucleotides. RefSeq lists it as uncharacterized. Lineage: Eukaryota; Metazoa; Arthropoda; Insecta; Lepidoptera; Nymphalidae. The transcript is spliced from 6 exons. The record is from RefSeq and is a predicted model, not a curated record.
GUACCACUUCUUCAGCAGGUUUUUGUUCUUUUGGUCGCCGUUUGCCUGUUGGCCAUUUAACUUCUCUAGGUUCUUCAUCUUGUUUCGGUUUUUCUUUUACAGUGGGUUUUAGUUUAACAACCUCCGGUACUUCUUCCUCGGCUGCCUCUGUUUUCGGCACAGGUUUGAGUACCACUUCUUCAGCAGGUUUUUCUUCUUUUGGUCGCCGUUUGCCUGUUGGCCAUUUAACUUCUCUAGGUUCUUCAUCUUGUUUCGGUUUUUCUUUUACAGUGGGUUUUAGUUUAACAACCUCCGGUACUUCUUCCUCGGCUGCCUCUGUUUUCGGCACAGGUUUGAGUACCACUUCUUCAGCAGGUUUUUCUUCUUUUGGUCGCCGUUUGCCUGUUGGCCAUUUAACUUCUCUAGGUUCUUCAUCUUGUUUCGGUUUUUCUUUUACAGUGGGUUUUAGUUUAACAACCUCCGGUACUUCUUCCUCGGCUGCCUCUGUUUUCGGCACAGGUUUGAGUACCACUUCUUCAGCAGGUUUUUCUUCUUUUGGUCGCCGUUUGCCUGUUGGCCAUUUAACUUCUCUAGGUUCUUCAUCUUGUUUCGGUUUUUCUUUUACAGUGGGUUUUAGUUUAACAACCUCCGGUACUUCUUCCUCGGCUGCCUCUGUUUUCGGCACAGGUUUGAGUACCACUUCUUCAGCAGGUUUUUCUUCUUUUGGUCGCCGUUUGCCUGUUGGCCAUUUAACUUCUCUAGGUUCUUCAUCUUGUUUCGGUUUUUCUUUUACAGUGGGUUUUAGUUUAACAACCUCCGGUACUUCUUCCUCGGCUGCCUCUGUUUUCGGCACAGGUUUGAGUACCACUUCUUCAGCAGGUUGUUCUUCU